This 917-nucleotide ribosomal RNA is filed under the name Tubakia thailandensis. RNAcentral describes it as "eukaryotic LSU rRNA". It matches the Rfam family "Eukaryotic large subunit ribosomal RNA", at positions 493 to 1426 of the family's 3401-position model. The record is from RNAcentral. Lineage: Eukaryota; Fungi; Ascomycota; Sordariomycetes; Diaporthales; Tubakiaceae.
AGGCCAGCAUCGGUUCUUGCCGGGGGAUAAGAACGGUGGGAACGUGGCUCCCCCUCGGGGGAGUGUUAUAGCCCGCCGUACGAUGCCCUGGCGGGGACCGAGGUUCGCGCUUCCGCAAGGAUGCUGGCGUAAUGGUUACUAGUGACCCGUCUUGAAACACGGACCAAGGAGUCGUCCAUUAGAGCGAGCGUUUGGGUGUCAAACCCGCACGCGUAAUGAAAGUGAAAUUAGGUGAGAGCUUCGGCGCAUCAUCGACCGAUCCUGAUGUUCUCGGAUGGAUUUGAGUAAGAGUUUUAACGGACGGACCCGAAAGACAGUGAACUAUGCUUGUAUAGGGUGAAGCCAGAGGAAACUCUGGUGGAGGCUCGCAGCGGUUCUGACGUGCAAAUCGAUCGUCAAAUAUGAGCAUGGGGGCGAAAGACUAAUCGAACUGUCUAGUAGCUGGUUACCGCCGAAGUUUCCCUCAGGAUAGCAGUGUUGACCUUCAGUUUUAUGAGGUAAAGCGAAUGAUUAGGGACUCGGGGGCGCUAUAUUGCCUUCAUCCAUUCUCAAACUUUAAAUAUGUAAGAAGCCCUUGUUACUUAGUUGAACGUGGGCAUUCGAAUGUAGCAACACUAGUGGGCCAUUUUUGGUAAGCAGAACUGGCGAUGCGGGAUGAACCGAACGCGGGGUUAAGGCGCCAGAGUGUACGCUCAUCAGACACCACAAAAGGCGUUAGUACAUCUUGACAGCAGGACGGUGGCCAUGGAAGUCGGAAUCCGCUAAGGACUGUGUAACAACUCACCUGCCGAAUGUACUAGCCCUGAAAAUGGAUGGCGCUCAAGCGUACCGCCCAUACCCCGCCCUCAGGGUAGAAACGAUGCCCUGAGGAGUAGGCGGCCGUGGAGGUCAGUGACGAAGCCUAGGGCGGAGCCCGG